Long non-coding RNA from Triticum aestivum (bread wheat), 2382 nucleotides. RefSeq lists it as uncharacterized. Lineage: Eukaryota; Viridiplantae; Streptophyta; Magnoliopsida; Poales; Poaceae. The transcript is spliced from 5 exons. The record is from RefSeq and is a predicted model, not a curated record.
GUAUAUGCCUAUAAAAUGGGUCUUCUCCUUCCUGACGGUCGCUGCCUCGCCUCCUCGCCCUACCGUCCCAUCUACCCCACCCUUCCAACCUCGAUCUUCUCUCCGUGUGGAGCUGGUGGCAGACGUACGGCCGAGGAGAUGAAGCAACGGCGGCGUGCCACCGCCACCUCCGAUGCACAGCGGCCACGGCACCAUCGGCACAAGAUUCGCGUGGGCAGCCCAGCCGUCGAGCAAGAGAGGCCUACCAACGACCGGCCAGAUUAGAGCCUCCGCUCAUCUCCGGUCCGUCAUCGUUCAGUUCCCGUGACCCGUGCACCGACGGAAGACCCUGGCCCCGCCUCCUCUGAACGUCGCAGUUCUUCUCCACGAAGAUUGUGCCCUUCAUAGUCUGACGGGGCGGUCACUGUUGUCAACAUCUUCGUGCUCUUCCUUCACGAGGAAAAUAGCAGAUGGUGUCGUCCAUGGCGUCGUCCCCAGCUCUAGCACGUCGGAGAUGACGGGCCACCAGUCAACACGAGCUCUACCAUGGUUUAUGGCAAGGAGAGGAGAAGUGGUCGUUCGGGUUCUGCGAGAAUGACAAGUGCAGGUAACUUGGAAAUUCCGGAUUUCGGUCUUCAUAUUUACAUUCGAGAGGAAAAGAAGUGUUGCACGGUCAUAUUUUAUUUCAGAGUUAAUAUUCCAUAAUUGUAUGAUGAACUGAACCUGAACAUUGAAAGUGGCACUUGCAAUACACUAAUUUUCAGUUUUGCUUGAUACUUUAUGAAAGAAUAUGUUGGCGGACAUGGCAAUACAGUUUCAUGUCGACAACCACUCCAACUGGAGUAUCCGUGGAAGUAAGAAUAUAGUAAACUGUCUGGGCCUCUGGUUGUAGUUAGUGUCAUCUAUAAUAUGCUUACGCUUCAUAUAUCAACUAAUUAAAUGUUGCACUGUUGAUCUAAAAAAAAGUAGCACUGUAUGUAAGUAUUGCAGGUUCAUGUACACUAUUGCUUGAUAAAUUGGUGGCAAAUAGCUGUGUGAGCUUCAUUUGGUCAGGUAUUUUUUUGAUAUCCUACUUUCAUCUGGUAUAACUGCAUGGGAUGUAAUUGGUUACUGCAUUUUGCAUGACAUACUUUAUUACUGUAUAUAUUACUUGUAUUUUUUUUCCUUAUUGCUUCUGUGCUAUUGAUUCCGGCACAGCAAAUUUUAUUUUGUUCUCUGGCGCAAAACCUUAACUUGACCUCUUGAUUUAUCAAGCUAUCCAGCUACUGUCUUAUAUAUUAUCACACAAGAUUUCAUCAGACCCCGAUGGUUUUAGUUUGUCAUGAUGGUUGGCGAAGUAGCUUCUGACCAAGCUAUACUAUGAUGAGAGUAAAGUCAACAUUUUUGUUGUUGCAAGGAUCACAGAGAAAGGAAUCACUAUUCAAUAGACAGUAGAUUGAUCUUUUGUAGCAUCUUUCUUAUAAAUUAGUUUGGUUCAUAAUCAGUUCCUCUUUCCAGGUUCUUUCGACUGCAUGAUACAUGAGACAUGGAUUCCUAAGGAUUGUUCAAGUGCGUUCAGUGUUAACGGAUGGAAUACAGAAUAGCCUUGACCACAAUGAGCAGAAGAAGUACAAUAUGGGCGACUGCAGGUACCUCCCCAGGGACACAGCUACUACCGUCACUGUUGAAAGAAUAACAGUUGUGCUGGAAGGUCCUUCUUGCUUGCUGUGUCUGCCUUCUCAUCUUAUUUAUGAUCGUUUAUGUGAAGAAGCAACAGCAACUUGAUUUGUUUUCUUGUGUAGUAAUAUGUGAGUUGCAUUUGCAGACAUAUAUGGGUCAAGUCACUCUCUGUUAGUUAGAUGUUAUUAGUGUUUUUCUAUCAGACAUGGUUCUGCAAUGGGCUUGACUGCCUAAGUCUCACUCAGAUUUUAGACUUGAUUAAUAACUGCUUCCUUCCAUUAAGAUGUGAGGUCCUGAUCCCAAUGACAGAGCAUCAUCGCUGAACUAAUGUUCAUGAGAGUUCACUGUUUGAUUUUGUUGAACCAUGCAAGUUCAAAAUUUGAUGAAGCCAUGCAACUGGUAGAUGCUUCAACAAGGCAUAUAUUUGCAGUGUUCGGCUGAGGAGAACACAGAUGCACGGCCAGCUGCGCGGAUUAGGCGAUGGAACCAAUAACAGGAGAAAGGACGGAAAAUAGGAAGGAGAUGGUGAGAUUGGCAUUGGGCAGUCGUUUGCAAAUGUUUCAUGGUCGGAUUAGGCCCAGCUAAUCAAUUCUUUUUGGGCAGCACUAGAGAAUUGAUGAAUGCAUGCUGUACAAUUUUCUAUGAUCUUCUCUGAUUUACUAACAAAUGUGAAAUGUUGAUCAACUAAUAUUUGAGAUGUAAAUUGAUAUUCAAUUGUAGAAAUUGAUAUAUGUACUUCCUUCA